CAGCAGCCACGGUAAUACGAAGGGGGCUAGCGUUGUUCGGAUUUACUGGGCGUAAAGCGCACGUAGGCGGACUUUUAAGUCAGGGGUGAAAUCCCGGGGCUCAACCCCGGAACUGCCUUUGAUACUGGAAGUCUUGAGUAUGGUAGAGGUGAGUGGAAUUCCGAGUGUAGAGGUGAAAUUCGUAGAUAUUCGGAGGAACACCAGUGGCGAAGGCGGCUCACUGGACCAUUACUGACGCUGAGGUGCGAAAGCGUGGGGAGCAAACAGGAUUAGAUACCCGUGUAGUCCCUGUCUCUUAUCC
This 301-nucleotide ribosomal RNA is filed under the name uncultured bacterium. Its description in RNAcentral is "partial 16S ribosomal RNA". It matches the Rfam family "Bacterial small subunit ribosomal RNA", at positions 509 to 809 of the family's 1533-position model. The record is from RNAcentral.